RNAcentral lists this ribosomal RNA (253 nucleotides) under uncultured bacterium. RNAcentral describes it as "partial 16S ribosomal RNA". It matches the Rfam family "Bacterial small subunit ribosomal RNA", at positions 524 to 776 of the family's 1533-position model. The record is from RNAcentral.
UACGUAGGUGGCAAGCGUUAUCCGGAUUUACUGGGUGUAAAGGGCGUGUAGGCGGGAGCGCAAGUCAGGUGUGAAAUUUCGGGGCUCAACCCCGAAACUGCACUUGAAACUGUGUUUCUUGAGUGAUGGAGAGGCAAGCGGAAUUCCGUGUGUAGCGGUGAAAUGCGUAGAUAUACGGAGGAACACCAGUGGCGAAGGCGGCUUGCUGGACAUUAACUGACGCUGAGGCGCGAAAGCGUGGGGAGCAAACAGG